CAGCCGCCGCGGUAAUACCAGCCCCGCGAGUGGUCGGGACGGUUAUUGGGCCUAAAGCGCCCGUAGCCGGCCCGGUAAGUCCCUCCUUAAAGCCCACGGCUCAACCGUGGGAGCGGAGGGAUACUGCCGGGCUAGGGGGCGGGAGAGGCCGGGGGUACUCCUGGGGUAGGGGCGAAAUCCUAUAAUCCCAGGAGGACCACCAGUGGCGAAGGCGCCCGGCUAGCACGCGCCCGACGGUGAGGGACGAAAGCUGGGGGAGCAAAGGGGAUUAGAUACCCCCGUAGUCCCAGCUGUAAACGAUGCAGGCUAGGUGUUAGGCGGGCUUCGUGCCCGCCUAGUGCCGUAGGGAAGCCGUUAAGCCUGCCGCCUGGGGAGUACGGCCGCAAGGCUGAAACUUAAAGGAAUUGGCGGG
RNAcentral lists this ribosomal RNA (412 nucleotides) under uncultured microorganism. RNAcentral's name for it is "bacterial SSU rRNA". It matches the Rfam family "Archaeal small subunit ribosomal RNA", at positions 459 to 872 of the family's 1478-position model. The record is from RNAcentral.